This 72-nucleotide transfer RNA is filed under the name Bos taurus (domestic cattle). It matches the Rfam family "tRNA". From Rfam's summary of the family: Transfer RNA (tRNA) molecules are approximately 80 nucleotides in length. Their secondary structure includes four short double-helical elements and three loops (D, anti-codon, and T loops). Lineage: Eukaryota; Metazoa; Chordata; Mammalia; Artiodactyla; Bovidae. The record is from Rfam by way of RNAcentral. RNAcentral also lists the same sequence under 1 other name.
UCCCUGGUGGCUCAGACAGUAAAGAAUCUGCCUGCAAUGCAGAAGACCCAGGUUCAAUCCCUGGAUUGGGAA